UACGGAGGAUGCAAGCGUUAUCCGGAAUUAUUGGGCGUAAAGCGUCCGUAGAUGGUCGUUUCAAGUCUGCUGUCAAAGACCGGUGCUUAACCCCAGAAAGGCGGUGGAAACUGAACAGCUAGAGAGAGGUAGGGGUAGAGGGAAUUCCCAGUGUAGCGGUGAAAUGCGUAGAUAUUGGGAAGAACAUCAGUGGCGAAAGCGCUCUACUGGACCUUAUCUGACAUUGAGGGACGAAAGCUAGGGGAGCGAAUGGG
This 254-nucleotide ribosomal RNA is filed under the name uncultured bacterium. Its description in RNAcentral is "partial 16S ribosomal RNA". It matches the Rfam family "Bacterial small subunit ribosomal RNA", at positions 524 to 776 of the family's 1533-position model. The record is from RNAcentral.